AAACUCCUUUUAAAAGGACAAAAGAUUUGAAUAAAUACUUUACAAAAGAGGAUAUACAAAUAACCACUAAGCACCUUAAAAGAUGCUUGUCAUUAGGGAAAUGCUGCUUAAAACCACAAUGAGAGACCACCACACACUCUCCAGAAUGGUUAAAAUUAAAACAACAUAUUAUCAGGUUUUGGUAAGAAUAGAACAGCUAGGCCUGCUUUACAUUGCUGGUGGGAGUGUAACAUGGUUCAACCACUUUGGAAAACUAUUUGUCAACCUUCUAUAAAGUUAAUGUAUUCUUACCAUCUGACCCAGAAAUUUCAUUUCUAGAUACUCCUUAAGAAAAUAAAAACAUAAACCACACAAAGACUUGUAAAUGGAUGUUUAUGGCACUUUCAUUUUAAUACCCCCAAACUAUCUAUAAUAGAAAAAAAUAAAAAUCAUUAUAUUAAUACCCCAAACUGUAAAAAAAAUCCAAAUGCCCAUCAACUGAUAAACAGAUAAGACAAUUGUGGUGUACAAUGGACUACCACUCAGCACUAGAAAGGAAUGAACUAUUGGUGUAUGCAACACAGAUGAUUUUCAAAAACAUUAUGCUGAGCAGGAAGCUGGACACAAAAGAGUAUCUGCUACGUGAUUCCAUUUAAUGAAAUUCUAGAACAGGUAAAACGAAUCUGUAGUGAUAGAAAUCAGAUCAGUGAUUGCCUAUAGCCUGGGGGUGGCAGGGUGCUGGAGAAGUACCAGGAAUUGACUGCAAAGGGCAUGAGGGAACUUCUGGGGGGUGAUAGAAAUAUUCUACAUCCUGAUUGCAGGAGGGUUACAUGAGUGUAGACAUUUGCCAAAUCUCAUCAAACUGUGCAUUUUUAAAAAAUGAAUAGAUUUUAUUGUGUGUCAAUUAUACCUCAGGAAAGUUUAUUUCUAAAAGUUUUUUAAAAGCAGAUCAUAGUAACAUUUGGUUAACAGGCAUAUUGAUUUAAUACAAUACAACUUUUUACUAAAUGCAGAGGGAACACAAUGAAUUAGACAUGGCCUUGCCUUCAUACACCUUUGAGACAAAUAGAUAUAUAGAUAAUUAUUGUACAAAACACACCGUGAGCAUAUCCUUUUUACAAUUUCAUAGUGCUAUAAAGGGACAAAACUUAGUUCUAGUCUUCCAAAAGCUUACAGAAAUAAUGUGGAUUCAGCUGCUGGGGGCAUGGAUUGGGGCAGGCCAUCCACCGUAAAACCUACAUACAACCAUGUACAACAAACCAUGAAACACGUCCACUCAGAUCCUACCUAUCAACUGUAAUUUAUAAUAAUCUGCAAAGUAUAUUUGUGAAAUUCUUUUUGAAUACAAAGUUAAAUAAUUUGGAAUUUUAAAGGUAGAAUUAAUAGAUAAUGAACCGAUAGGCAUUAUAUAUAUGUUUUUCUUUAUCAUACAAUUUUAUGGAGACAUUGGCAUGAUGGAGCAAGUGUGGGCUUUGGAGAAAAAGCUAAUACUAAUUGUAAUAAUAAUAAUAAUAAUAACCAGCAUUUAUGAGGGUUUACCAGGUGCCUAGCAGUGUGCUAAGAUCUUUGCAUGCUUUAUUGACUCUUCAUAAAUUAAUCUGUAAAGAAGGUAUUAUUAUUUUUAUUAUUACUAUCCAUUUACAGAUGAGAAAAUUGAAGAUUCAAUAGGUUAAGGAACUUAACUUUGCCCAAAUAUGCACAGCUUAUAAUUGACAAAGCCAGGAAUUGAACUUAAGUUUAUUGAUUCUGGAGCCCAAACUCCUAACCCACUUUACCACCUUAAAUUCCAACUUGGUAUUUAUUAAUUACAUGUCCUUUGGCAAGUGACCUACGGUCUUUGAGCCUCAAUUUUUUGUUUAUAGGGCAAGGUGAAUUUAUGAAAGACUUCUAUAAAAAUUAAAUAAUAUGAUUUAAGUUAAAUCACUUAGCACAGGAGGUCCCGUCAUGGCACAGUGGUUAACAAAUCUGACCAGGAACCAUGAGGUUGCUGGUUUAAUCCCUGCCCUUGCUCAGUGGGUAAAGGAUCUGGCAUUGCCGUGAGCUGUGGUGUAAGUUGCAGACUCAGCUCAGAUCCCAUGUUGCUGUGGCUCUGGUGCUAGUGGCUACAGCUCUGAUUACACCCCUAGCCUGGGAACUUCCAUAUGCCGUGGGUGCAGCCCUAAAAA
RNAcentral lists this long non-coding RNA (2144 nucleotides) under Sus scrofa (pig). Its description in RNAcentral is "lncRNA (ENSSSCG00050003422.1)". The record is from RNAcentral. Lineage: Eukaryota; Metazoa; Chordata; Mammalia; Artiodactyla; Suidae.